Molecule: ribosomal RNA, 484 nt
Filed under: uncultured bacterium
Lineage: Bacteria
Description: partial 16S ribosomal RNA
Rfam family: Bacterial small subunit ribosomal RNA
Source: RNAcentral
AUUGAACGCUGGCGGAAUGCUUUAUACAUGCAAGUCGAACGGCAGCACGGGGGCAGCCCUGGUGGCGAGUGGCGAACGGGUGAGUAAUACAUCGGAACGUGCCCGGUCGUGGGGGAUAACGUAGCGAAAGUUACGCUAAUACCGCAUACGAUCUGAGGAUGAAAGCGGGGGACCUUCGGGCCUCGCGCGAUCGGAGCGGCCGAUGUCAGAUUAGGUAGUUGGUGGGGUAAAGGCCUACCAAGCCGACGAUCUGUAGCUGGUCUGAGAGGACGACCAGCCACACUGGGACUGAGACACGGCCCAGACUCCUACGGGAGGCAGCAGUGGGGAAUUUUGGACAAAGGGCGCAAGCCUGAUCCAGCCAUUCCGCGUGCAGGACGAAGGCCUUCGGGUUGUAAACUGCUUUUGUACGGAACGAAAAGGCUCUGGCUAAUACCUGGGGCUCAUGACGGUACCGUAAGAAUAAGCACCGGCUAACUACGUG